RNAcentral lists this ribosomal RNA (769 nucleotides) under uncultured bacterium. RNAcentral describes it as "bacterial SSU rRNA". It matches the Rfam family "Bacterial small subunit ribosomal RNA", at positions 100 to 882 of the family's 1533-position model. The record is from RNAcentral.
GAACGGGUGAGUAACACGUGGGUGAUCUGCCCUGCACUUUGGGAUAAGCCUGGGAAACUGGGUCUAAUACCGAAUAGGACCACGCGCUUCAUGGUGUGUGGUGGAAAGCUUUUGCGGUGUGGGAUGGGCCCGCGGCCUAUCAGCUUGUUGGUGGGGUAAUGGCCUACCAAGGCGACGACGGGUAGCCGGCCUGAGAGGGUGACCGGCCACACUGGGACUGAGAUACGGCCCAGACUCCUACGGGAGGCAGCAGUGGGGAAUAUUGCACAAUGGGCGCAAGCCUGAUGCAGCGACGCCGCGUGAGGGAUGACGGCCUUCGGGUUGUAAACCUCUUUCAAUAGGGACGAAGCGCAAGUGACGGUACCUAUAGAAGAAGCACCGGCCAACUACGUGCCAGCAGCCGCGGUAAUACGUAGGGUGCGAGCGUUGUCCGGAAUUACUGGGCGUAAAGAGCUCGUAGGUGGUUUGUCGCGUUGUUCGUGAAAACUCACAGCUUAACUGUGGGCGUGCGGGCGAUACGGGCAGACUAGAGUACUGCAGGGGAGACUGGAAUUCCUGGUGUAGCGGUGGAAUGCGCAGAUAUCAGGAGGAACACCGGUGGCGAAGGCGGGUCUCUGGGCAGUAACUGACGCUGAGGAGCGAAAGCGUGGGGAGCGAACAGGAUUAGAUACCCUGGUAGUCCACGCCGUAAACGGUGGGUACUAGGUGUGGGUUCCUUCCUUGGGGUCCGUGCCGUAGCUAACGCAUUAAGUACCCCGCCUGGGGAGUA